Molecule: long non-coding RNA, 2061 nt
Organism: Drosophila subobscura
Lineage: Eukaryota; Metazoa; Arthropoda; Insecta; Diptera; Drosophilidae
Exons: 2
Source: RefSeq, a predicted model, not a curated record
UGUUCAUUCUGUUGUCGUUUCGUUUCGUUUCGUUCGCUUUACUUUUUCUGGAAUACUCGUAUAAAAAAAGUCAAACAAAAUAAUAAAAAUGAAACAGCGAUCCUCAAACACACACACACGAACAUUGGAACACACACAUACAGAUGCAGUUGGUGUGCCGCCGCCGCCAUUGCGUAUGGGGCGGCCAUUGAAGCCAACGGCGACUGCUCUGCUCUGCCAGCGAACAUCGCCUGCCUCGCCGCUCGAGAGUAUAAAAGCUUAAAAUCACUUCGUACUCGGGUUUAUUAAAACCAAAACUGUGCAAGUGUCAAGAUCGGAACGGAUCGGAACGGAUCGGAUCGGAUCGUAGUAGGAGCAGGAGCAGCCGCAGCGGCAGCAGCAGAUCGAAAGUCGUAUAAGCCAGACAAAAAAAAACUGAGUGAAAAAUUCUUGUGAAAUGUAAAAGCACACAACGCAGACAACGCCCCUCUUUAAAACCAAGUGAAAGUCGGGGAAAACCAAACCAAAUAUAACAACUAAACUAAUCAAAAAUUGACAAUCACCAAACCAAAAAUAAAAGAGCCGAGCACAACGGGCUGCCUGCUUCCCCUCCGCCCACUGUAAAUGGCGCAGAAAAUAAAAUCACUAAAAUAAUUAACUAGGCGCCACGCGACGCGCAACCAGAAAAGCUAAAAAAAAAAGAGAAACAAAAAUCGAAAGUGUUCUACUGACAUGGAUUACUUUUUGCCUCUCCCCGGCAACAACAGCAAACAGCAACAACGCAAGGCUGUGAUGGCAAUGGCAAAGAGAAACUAACGCUAGUUUUAGUCUAUGGCGCUGCGCUCUCUGAGAGAGGCAACAAAAUAGAAAGCAAAACUAGACAGCAGCGGGGCAGAUCAGCUAGCUGGCUGGCUGGCUGGCCCCGGUGUACGUGCACUGAGACAUGCUGUGUUGGUGUUGGUGUGUUGGCUGAUGUUUGUGCUGUGAGAGAGCAAAUUCUAAUUCUUGAACUUGAACUCCAAAAUGUGCACAGACACAGGCGCAGUCAGAGCCACACGCAUACUCCCAUUCGGUAGCGGCGGCGGCAGCCUUGCAUAAAUAUGUAUGCAAUCUUGUUGUUGUUGUUGCUGUUGGGCCGGCGGCGCUCUCUGUGGGUCUAGCUUAUGCUCUCCCGCUGGCGCUGCUAAUCUCCCCAUUUGCUUUGCGCCCCAGAGAGUCGUGUCACCGACAACAGUCGGUCAGUCAGUUGGGAGGUGGCGCUCGCUGGGGCGCAUAAAAUUUGCUCGCUGAUCAAUUUGCGACUUGCUUGCAAUUAAUUUUUGGACCCCAGCAAGAAGCAAAAAAAAAAGUGAAAGUCUGUGAGUGAAAGACGUGGCAUUUUUAAACAAAAUCCAACAUUGAACUUUACGCUAAACACGAAACAAACGCGAAACAAGUUAAUACAUUUUAAGACGCGAAACGCAAAUGAAAUCGAACCGAAAAAAAGAGACCGAGCCCGCGCCUGAGCCUGAGCAAUGCAAAGAAAGCGGCGCCGUAAGCUUUUUGCGCAGCUGCCUGGGCUGACUAGUUACGUUUUUUCCUCUUACUCUUUUUCUUUAUCAUCAUAGCGCGGGAUCGGUGGGCGUGGGGGGCAGCAGGCCAUAUGGAAAUCGAGGGGAAAAGAAAGCAGAGCAAAGCAGUAACAGAAGCAACAGCAGCAAUAGCGGCCACAACGGCAGCUGUGCGGCGUUACGUAGCUUAUGAUAAGUGGGCGUGGCCGAGAGUGUGUUAUUCUAAAAAAGAGAAUGUGCCUUAUAAAUCUAGCCUCUACUAGGCUUUGUCUGUGCAUUCGAAAACGAUCAGACAUAGCCUAUAAGAGGUUAGGUGUACCAAGGAGAAAAUGCAACAAAAGCGGAAUCCCGAUUACAGUUACACUUACACCGAACGCCGAGAUGAGGAGGAGGAGGCAGUCGACUGAUAAGCACUAUAUAGGAAUUAAAUCGCACCCCACACAGCACCAGCCUCUGGAUUUGUUUAUGGUCUUCGAUGUUUAUUAGUGUAUAAAUAUAAAAAUGUUUAUGAAUAAAAGGCGUUUCGCUGAUA